RNAcentral lists this ribosomal RNA (796 nucleotides) under bacterium enrichment culture. RNAcentral describes it as "bacterial SSU rRNA". It matches the Rfam family "Bacterial small subunit ribosomal RNA", at positions 679 to 1498 of the family's 1533-position model. The record is from RNAcentral.
GAGUGAAAUCCGUAGAUAUUAGGAGGAACACCAAUGGCGUAGGCAGGUGACUGGCUCGUUCCUGACGCUCAGGCACGAAAGCGUGGGGAGCAAACGGGAUUAGAUACCCCGGUAGUCCACGCCGUAAACGAUGGAUGCUAGCUGUUAGAGGUAUCGACCCCUCUAGUAGCGAAGCUAACGCGUUAAGCAUCCCGCCUGUGGAGUACGGUCGCAAGACUAAAACAUAAAGGAAUUGACGGGGACCCGCACAAGCGGUGGAGCGUGUUGUUUAAAUUCGAUGGUAAGCGAAGAACCUUACCCAGGCUUGACAUCCUUGGAAGCACUGCGAAAGCAGCGUGUGCCUUCGGGAACCAAGUGACAGGUGUUGCAUGGCCGUCGUCAGCUCGUGUCGUGAGAUGUUUGGUUAAGUCCAUCAACGAGCGCAACCCUUAUAGUUAGUUGAAUAAAAAAAAGCUAGACUGCCCUGGUAACAGGGAGGAAGGGGGGGAUGAUGUCAGGUCAGUAUUACCCUUACGUCUGGGGCUACAAACACGCUACAAUGGCCGGUACAAAGGGCAGCCAAGUCGCGAGACGGAGCAAAUCCCAUCAAAGCCGGUCCCAGUUCGGAUAGCAGGCUGAAACUCGCCUGCUUGAAGUCGGAAUCGCUAGUAACGGUAGGUCAGCACACUACCGUGAAUACGUUCCCGGGUCUUGUACACACCGCCCGUCAAACCAUGAAAGUCGCCAAUACCCGACGUCCCAACUUUGCUUGGGCCUAAGGUGGGGGAGAUGAUUGGGGUUAAGUCGUAACAAGGUA